UAAAUAGGAUUCCCUUAGUAAUGGCGAAUGAACAGGGAUCAGCUCAGUAUGGAAAUCGGGGCUUCCCAGCCUUGAAUUGUAGUCUCAAGAGGUAUCGCCAACGGAGGCGCAGAUGUAAGCCUCUUGGAAAAGAGCAUCAAUGAGGGUGAGAAUCCCGUUUGUCAUCUGCAGUCCCCCGUGCACGGUGUAUCUUCUAAGAGUCGCGUUCCUCGGGAUUGGAGCGUAAAGUGGGUGGUAAAUUUCAUCUAAGGCUAAAUAUGGGUUCGAGACCGAUAGCAAACAAGUACCAUGAGGGAAAGAUGAAAAGGACUUUGAAAAGAGAGUUAAAAGUGCCUGAAAUUGCUGAAAGGGAAGCGAAUGGAACCAGUGCUCUUGGCGAGAUUGUUGUGCGCUAUGGUGAUUGCUGGCUGCUUCAGCGCAAGCGGGGUAGUUGGUACUGAGCCUGCCGCGCGCAGUGUUUCUUACCUUGUGCGUCACCGUCGGUUCACAGGCGAGGAUACUUCUGAGGACAUGGUAACUCUUCCACGGAGGUGUGAAUGUCUUUGGUAAUACUCGUUUGUAGACCGCUCACCUUCGGGUUACGAUGACUAAAUGGUUCUAUUCGACCCGUCUUGAAACACGG
This 622-nucleotide small RNA is filed under the name Amphidoma languida. RNAcentral's name for it is "eukaryotic LSU rRNA". It matches the Rfam family "Eukaryotic large subunit ribosomal RNA", at positions 66 to 664 of the family's 3401-position model. Lineage: Eukaryota; Dinophyceae; Gonyaulacales; Amphidomataceae. The record is from RNAcentral.